AGAGUUUGAUCGUGGCUCAGAUUGAACGCUAGCGGGAUGCUUUACACAUGCAAGUCGAACGGCAGCGCGAGAGAGCUUGCUCUCUUGGCGGCGAGUGGCGGACGGGUGAGUAAUAUAUCGGAACGUGCCCAGUAGCGGGGGAUAACUACUCGAAAGAGUGGCUAAUACCGCAUACGCCCUACGGGGGAAAGGGGGGGAUCGCAAGACCUCUCACUAUUGGAGCGGCCGAUAUCGGAUUAGCUAGUUGGUGGGGUAAAGGCUCACCAAGGCAACGAUCCGUAGCUGGUUUGAGAGGACGACCAGCCACACUGGGACUGAGACACGGCCCAGACUCCUACGGGAGGCAGCAGUGGGGAAUUUUGGACAAUGGGGGAAACCCUGAUCCAGCCAUCCCGCGUGUAUGAUGAAGGCCUUCGGGUUGUAAAGUACUUUUGGCAGAGAAGAAAAGGUACCUCCUAAUACGAGGUACUGCUGACGNAUCUGCAGAAUAAGCACCGGCUAACUACGUGCCAGCAGCCGCGGUAAUACGUAGGGUGCAAGCGUUAAUCGGAAUUACUGGGCGUAAAGCGUGUGUAGGCGGUUCGGAAAGAAAGAUGUGAAAUCCCAGGGCUCAACCUUGGAACUGCAUUUUUAACUGCCGAGCUAGAGUAUGUCANAGGGGGGUAGAAUUCC
RNAcentral lists this ribosomal RNA (672 nucleotides) under Alcaligenes faecalis. Its description in RNAcentral is "bacterial SSU rRNA". It matches the Rfam family "Bacterial small subunit ribosomal RNA", at positions 8 to 670 of the family's 1533-position model. The record is from RNAcentral. Lineage: Bacteria; Pseudomonadati; Pseudomonadota; Betaproteobacteria; Burkholderiales; Alcaligenaceae.